Long non-coding RNA from Chelonia mydas (Green sea turtle), 920 nucleotides. RefSeq lists it as uncharacterized. The record is from RefSeq and is a predicted model, not a curated record. The transcript is spliced from 2 exons. NCBI's taxonomy places the organism in Eukaryota, Metazoa, Chordata, Testudines, Cheloniidae.
UGGAAGUAUAAAAGGCUGGCCUUCCAGCUCAGUUGGAGAGGAGCCAUUAGAGGUGAAGGAUGUCUCUCACCUGCUGCUGGAGCUUGAUACUUGACAGCAACUACUGCAGCACCUGAGAGCUGGAGGGGCUGCCAGUCGCUGGAGACAUCAAGGAGUUGCUGGGGCUGCUGUUAGAUGUUUACCCCAGUGAGACAGAUGAUGACACUGGAACCCAGGUAUCGUGAAGACGAGUAACACUAUUUAAUCAGAAUGGGAGAAUAUUGGCUAACUUGGCUCAGUCUCUUCCUUUGUCUACAUGUGAAUGAAGAGCUUGUGAAAGCUGCCAGACUGCUUGCCCUGGAAACAGAAGUCCCCUAUCCACAGAAUGGGCAGUGAGGGGAAGCUUUUACCUAAUCUACGUGCUUCAUGCUAGAUGUGGAGGGACCACCUCAAUGGGUCCAUUUUCUGUGUGCAUUCUUCAGUGACUGGCCUCUUUACUUCAAGGUUUCCAGUUGUAAAGGUGGUUUUUGUGAUCUGCUCAUGUGUCCACAGGAAAUGGCACCGAGAACUCUAAAAACUUCCUGGAGACCACCUGACUGCCUUCCGAUGGUAGAAGUUUGUAGUUAGUACUAGCCUGGGCUGGCUUCAGACUAGCAACCUAGAGGUGACUAGCUCUAUUUCUCAUUCGUAAUCCUCCAGGUCCAAUGAUUUUUUUUUUUUUAAACUGGGGUCUAUCAAGGGACAGCAAAGGAGCACAACUCCCACACCUCUGUUAAAAGGGAGUGCUAUUCCCCUAGAGUUCUCCCCUCUUAUUGCCCCAGUACAGAUUACAUGAUAUACAACUGAUGUGUUUGCAUAAAAAUAUAGAUUGUGAAUUGAAGAACUCCUUGGUAUGUUCCAUCUGUAGUGGUGGUUAAUACAUAUAAAGUUUGAUUCUUCUU